ACAAGGACCUCCGCCUCUGGCAACUGCUUGACGCAGUUGGACAGCUGGGGAGGGAAACAUGGGCGCCUGGGGGAUGGUCACGAGAGUGGCAGGAACCGGGAUGCACACAUUUAGACAGGAGAGUGAUUGUAAUAUUAAUUUAAUGGAGGGUGAGUAUAUUUGUAUUUGUAUGGAAACAUACUACAUAUAUGUAUACCCAUGCCCAAAAUAAACAUCAAAA
This 220-nucleotide unclassified non-coding RNA is filed under the name uncultured fungus. Its description in RNAcentral is "sequence contains ITS1, 5.8S rRNA gene". Lineage: Eukaryota; Fungi. The record is from RNAcentral.